UCGCCGAUCCGCUCGCGUCUCCUCUCCGCCUCAGCUCGCAUCGCAGCUGCUGUACCAGCUCGUGCCGGAGCCGUUCGGCCACCUCCGGCCGCCGUUCGGGUCCCGCCUUGGUCCGGUUUGACCCCCCAACCUUCCCCGAUCCUUCCCCAUCUCAUCCAAGCUCCGGAUCUACCCUUCCUCGGCCUCAAACCGCCAUGGACAGCAGCCAAGAAAAAUGGGUAUGGCAGCCCCUUCGUGGCCCGUUUUGGCCGCCUUCCCGAGCCCGGAUGCUCGGCCCGCUUUGAGGAAAGUCGAUCCUCGCGUCGUCCCCGUCGUUUUGGUUCGCUCGGCUCGUUAAUCCGGUGAGUUUAACUCACUAAAUCUUGAUUAGAGGGUUAAUGAUGCCCUAAGUGUGCUUAGUCUAAGUUAAGCAAGUUUAGGUGGUUAGAUUAGUUUAUUUGAUUGAUGAUUAGAUUAGGAUGUUUAAUUAAGUUAAAGUGUGGUUAGUUUAAAGUUAAGUGUGUUUAUUUUUAAAAUAAAUCCUUGAUGUGACAUAAUAGGGUUUUAUUUUUGAAUUAUUUAAAGAUUUCGAAAUUCUGGAAAUUUAUAAUAUUAUAUUAAUUCCGAAAUUAUUAAAAUAUUAUUAUUAUUAAAAAAAAAAAAAAACGGAAAAAUUAUUUUUGACCCCGGUUGCUCAGAAUUUCGUGCCGAUCGCUGCUGUGUGUUCGGAUUUUGAAAUUGAUGGUCGGAUAAUAUAAAUUGAAUGUGGAUUGCGAAAAAUGUGAAUAUUAUUAUUUAAUUAAUUUUCGGAAUAAAUUUAAUUAUUUAUUAAAAUUCGAAAAUUUCGUCGGGACCUUAUACUCUCAGAAUUUCGUGCUGAUCGCUGCUGUGCAUUUAGAAUUUGAAUUUGAUGAAUUGAUGUGGCAAAUUGAGUGUUGAUUGUGAUAAAUAUGGAUCUCAUUCAUAAAAACCCACGUGUCGGGUUUUGUUGCAAAAAUUGGAUUUUAAUGAUUAUAUUAAAUAGUGGGGUUUGAAAAAGGUGAGAUAUUAGCUUGUUGAUUCGAAAUUGGUGUGUCCCCACACACGUGAGUUAUUUCUGGAAUAUUUUUAAUAUGAAGAAAAAUGGCCGGGACCACUAUUUUAAGUUGAAGCAUUGAUUUAAGUAUAAAGUGUCCUGGGGCCGAGUAUGUUUUGGCUGUGUGAUAACUAAGAGGAACCGUCCUGGGCUGUUGAGCCGGACUUGCCCCUAUAUGGGAUGCCCACGCGGUGGAUGCGGGUCGCAGUAGAUUCUGGGCCCAUGCUCCUUCGGGAAUGCCGUCGACGUACUGACGAAGCCGCGCUCCAUGGGGGGAGGCGAUGCCUGGCAUUAGUGUCAGAAGAUAGCCGAACAGCGAGUAGGCUAUGCCCUUGUGUGGCAGUGAAUAAUAACUGGAAUGCAUGUUGGGUGUUAUUGAUGUGUCGGAUUAUGGGACGGAAUUGUGUGGCAUGGAAUGGGACGUGUCAUAACGAUUUAGUCUUAUAAUCAGGACCCCCGUGGUUGUUGGUGUCACGCCCCGAUCCUCAGGCACGUGCACAUCCUUCUAUUUGGUCGAUUUUAUAAUGCGAUAUCCCAGGACAAAGUAUCGCCGACCCUUUCAUUAACUAGCACAUGCGGAAGCAGUUAAAAUCCCCAGACAAUAAAACGAUGGGAUAGAAAAGCAGGGCCAUAUUUUUCAUAUUGAAAUUUAUAACCACACUUUUAUACAAAACACAAACCAUAACAAUUCACAACUUUUUAUUCUAAGCUCUAUUCACAUCAAAAUGGAGAUAUCAAAGAAGAUAACAUCUCAGUCCACCUGGGCCGUCCUCAAGGCCCUUCUCAAGAUUAUCUUCUUCUUCCAAAAAUCCUUCUCCAACUCUUCCUCCUCAGCUCCUUAGCGGGGUCCUGAAAUGGUUUUCCCCAAACUGGGAUGAGACUACGUCUCAGCGAGUUCUACCCCACUAAGCCCGAUUAGUAAACCAUUAUACUAAAGGCUGCCUAAACACACAUAGGUCAGAAGGCGUACCUUAGCAUCAUAUCCCACCUGCAAGUCAGUACAAUUCACAAUAGGCACUCAAGCAAUCGUAUCACCGAUCAAGGCAUCAAUCAAAUCGACCUAGUCGAUGACAAUUCAACAAGACCACUCACGGUCAUUCCCAUUCAGUCAAUCAAUUCACAACAUCAAAUCAAAACAAUGAUCAAUCGACCUUGUCGAUUACAUGUCAACCUGACCAUUUCCCGGUCAUUCAAACUAUUGCUAUUCAGAGUCCCACUCAGCAACAUUCAAUAUUUAAUGGCUUUACGGUCCCACUCGACCCCUUGCAAGAUUUAAUGGCUUUACGGUCCCACUCGACCCAUUGCAAGAUUUAAUGGCUUUACGGUCCCACUCGACCCCUUGCAAGAUUUAAUGGCUUUACGGUCCCACUCGACCCCUUGCAAGAUUUAAUGGCUUUACGGUCCCACUCGACCCCUUGCAAGAUUUAAUGGCUUUACGGUACCACUCGACCCCUUGCAAGAUUUAAUGGCUUUACGGUCCCACUCGACCCCUUGCAAGAUUUAAUGGCUUUACGGUCCCACUCGACCCCUUGCAAGAUUUAAUGGCUUUACGGUCCCACUCGACCCCUUGCAAGAUUUAAUGGCUUUACGGUCCCACUCGACCCAUUGCAAGAUUUAAUGGCUUUACGGUCCCACUCGACCCCUUGCAAGAUUUAAUUUGGCACAAUUCAAAGCUCAAAUAAAUAAACGGACUGCGUCACGACAAUCGGUACGAGAUUUCGGUCGUCGGCCAUCUCAAUCUUAAUUUCCGAAAAAUAAAUAAUUAAUUAAUUAAUUUCGAAAUUUAAUUAAUAAAUACUAAUAAUUCAAAUUAGCACAAACUAAAACACAAUUAAACAAACGGGCUUCACCACGGUCAUCAGCAUAAUUUUCCGGUUCCAGGCCAUCUCAGUUGAAUUUUCAGGAAAUAAAUAAUUAAUUAAUUAAUUUCUAAAAUUAAAUAAUUAAUAUUAAAAAUUCAAUUUAGCUUAAAAUAAAGCCCGAUUAAAUAAACAGACUUCACCACGGUCAUCAGCAUAAUAUUCCGGUUCCGAACCAUCUCCCUUGAAUUUUCGGAAAAUAAAUAAUUAUUUAAUUUAAUUCCGAAAAUUAAUAUUUAAAUGCCCAAAAAUCUCACUUAGGCCCGAAUCGCCAAAUUGAAGCCCGAUUAGGGGUCGGAAAAUUCCCGAGAUGCUUCCAAUAAAUAGUAGACCACGUCUACUUGUUAAUUGCACAAUCAAUUUAUUUAAAUCACAUCACAAUUGACUAAUAAUUGCUAAUUAAUUCUAAUCUAACAACCUAAACAUAAUUAAUUAAAACUAAACCAACCUAAAGCAUAAUUAGUCAACUAAUCCAAGAUUAGUGAGAUUACUCACCAAAUCGCCCGCAAAUCGGAUCAAUCCGACGGCGGCGACGCGAGGAACGAUUGUUCCCAAAGCACGGCUCGGGUUCGGGGCCGGGAAACGACCCAAAAGCGGGCCCGAAGUCGCUGAAACCCACUCCGUGGGUCUGCUGGACGGAGCCGAUCGGGCUUGCUCCGGCGGCUAGGGCGGCGAGGGAAAGCCGGCGGAGGGCGAGGGGGUUGCGGGGGAGGUCCGGCGGGGUUGGGCGGUGGCCGGAGGUGGCCGGGGAUGGCUGGACGAAGCUGUAACAGAAGCGAACAGCAGCUGGGUCGCUGGAUCGCACGGCCUGAGCGCGCACGGACGGCGGCGGGCGCACGGGCGCGGCGCGGCGGUGCGGCGGUGCGGCGGCGGGACGAACGGCGAGGGGUUCUCGGCGAGCUGCUGUCUCCGAGCUCCUCGUUCGCACGCAAGGAAGAAAGAAAAACAGAGGGGUUCGGUUGCGUGGGGGAAAAAGUGGGAGAGAAGAGAGAGGAGAGAGAGGGAAGAGAUAAGGGAGAGAAAAGUGAGUGGGUGGGGCUAUUCGCACGAGGGGAAAGGGAAAGGGGAAAGGAGAGAGAGAGAAAAAGAAAAAGAAAGAAAAGAAAAGAGAGGGAGAGAGAGGAAAAAGAAAAGGGAAAUACAUAAUUCUUUUAUGCAAAUUUUCCUUUUCUCUUUCUAUUUUCACUUGGGCUUCAAUUUUCUUCCGAUAAUUUCUUUAUUGAAAUUUCGGACUCGUCAAUAAAUUGACGAGCGAUGAGACAGGAUCCUAAAAUAAGAAUUAUGACGCGCUUAAAAUUCGAUUCCCGAAAUCGAGUUCAAUUUCGUGGUUAAAAAUCGAUCGGACGUGAUUUUAGCUCAAUCUAACCAAUUAGGUAGCUUUUAGGGAUUUUACAGCUGAUACAUCCCUUAACGGCUUCACCCAAUAGGUUAGUUAACUCGUGAGUGAUCAGCUCAGAGAAAAAGGCUAUAGGCACGCCGACGAAAUGCCCAUUUCACUUUAUCGAAACGGGGUCGAAUUUCAGGACGUCACAGUUGGUUAUAUGAAAAAGAAUGCGUUCCGGUUGUUUAAGUUCUUAUUACUAUCUGUGAUUGAGUGAUUUGAAAUUGUGCUAACCUGCAGGAAGGAACUGAGGCGAGGUAAGUCUUCUGUGUGAUGUGGCUAGGCCACCCGGGGUGUAUUUUCUUUCUAAUAGGGGUUUAGGGGGUUGAACUUGCUGAGACAUCGUCUCAUCCCGGUUGUGGGAUUAAAAUUUCAGGUCCCUGGUGGGCGGAGCGACCAGAUAGCUUUGGUUGGGAUUGAGGAGUUGCAGAGGGAAGUUAUAAGGAUUGGAGGACGUGCCCGACUUGUAGGCCAUAGGACAAUUCCUUUUUAAGAGCCUUGUCUUGUGUAGACUGUUGGCCGUAGACCUCUGUUUGUAAUUCUGUUGAGUUAUGUAAGUGAUUGGUUGUGAAAUUGUUUCCUGCUUUUCUAUCCCGUAUUUUAUGGUCAGGGGUUUUAUAAUACGUUCCGCUUGCGCA
This 4932-nucleotide long non-coding RNA is filed under the name Eucalyptus grandis. RNAcentral's name for it is "long non-coding RNA (EGRA_LNC002584)". Lineage: Eukaryota; Viridiplantae; Streptophyta; Magnoliopsida; Myrtales; Myrtaceae. The record is from RNAcentral.